Molecule: long non-coding RNA, 1131 nt
Organism: Drosophila ananassae
Lineage: Eukaryota; Metazoa; Arthropoda; Insecta; Diptera; Drosophilidae
Exons: 2
Source: RefSeq, a predicted model, not a curated record
AAAGCAUUUUUCACUGAUAAAGUAGAGAAACAUGGUGGCUGGCGGGCAAUCCGACCGCCAUAUAAUCAUAGUGGCUGGCCGUAUUGUCCGACGAGCCACGAGUGCCUUUGGCAUAUGCCAGCGUCAGUGGCCAGUUGGUCUCGUCAUUUUAAUUUAUAUGUACUCACACAGAGCAGCACAAAUCCAAGAAAUAAGCUGUAAAAAAAUACAAUACCCCGGGGGCAGCCAAACAAAAUAUAGUAAAGCCAACCAGCCAUGGCAUCAAACUUCAUCAACGAGAUAGUGGCAAAGUUUAAAGUCCUCUUUUUCAGGACAAUGUGUCGGUGUGUUGGAAAAUUGUGAAAGUGUUGGUACUAAGGGGUCAAAUCGAGAAAGGGCAGGAGGUCGGGAGAAGAGAGUUGGAAAAGGGAUCCUAUGCACGUACAUAGUGCUAACCCCAUGGUAGUUUUAGCUGGUGUCGCCUGUUUUUUGUUUCAAUGAAGGCGAAGCUGUUGACAGACCAACAAUCGACUUGGGAAUUUUGUCACUAAAGUGCCAUCGCCAUCGUAACCACCUUAAAAACUUUGUCACAACAACAUCGGCCGAGAGCUCUCGAUUUUCAAACAGCAAUCACCCAGGAUGCUUUGAUGAUGCCUGAAACAGAAACUGGAAUACACAGGUAUACAUGAAAAACACUAUGGCCUGGACCUGCGAUGCGAAGGAGAACCGGAUCAGGCCCGGGGCUUUGAGGUUUGCUUUAAACUUUUGCUGAGCAAAUAUUUUGCCGCUUAGCUGCGUGCCGUGUGUCAUCACACUGAUUAACUUUGUCAAGUUUGCACAGCUCAGCAGAGAGACAGGAUAUGCCGGGACAUGCCGGAGCAAUGUGUGUGUCCAACAUUGACCAUUAAACGGCGACUGAGCCGUACUUAAUUACUUCAGAGAUUUUCCGCUUUUUGGAAACAAGCUGACAGUACUUUUCUUAAGCCUAAGCAUGAUACUUCAAGGUUAAUAUAGCUCUUAUCAUUUGAGGCUAGGUCAUCCCUUAAAAUAAACAGACUUACAAAAAUUGUUACACCUGUCCAGUUCUGAAAUCUACUCUGUAUUUUGGACUCGUUUAGCAUUCCGACAAUACAAAUUUUCCCCCAGAAGUGA